Molecule: ribosomal RNA, 421 nt
Filed under: uncultured bacterium
Lineage: Bacteria
Description: bacterial SSU rRNA
Rfam family: Bacterial small subunit ribosomal RNA
Source: RNAcentral
UAAGGAAUAUUGGUCAAUGGACGCAAGUCUGAACCAGCCAUGCCGCGUGGAGGAUGAAGGCCCUCUGGGUUGUAAACUUCUUUUAUAGGGGACGAAACCCUGGUAUUCCUACCAGAUUGACGGUACCCUAGGAAUAAGCACCGGCUAACUCCGUGCCAGCAGCCGCGGUAAUACGGAGGGUGCAAGCGUUAUCCGGAUUCACUGGGUUUAAAGGGUGCGUAGGAGGGCAGGUAAGUCAGUGGUGAAAUCUCCAAGCUUAACUUGGAAACUGCCGUUGAUACUAUCUGUCUUGAAUAUUGUGGAGGUGAGCGGAAUAUGUCAUGUAGCGGUGAAAUGCUUAGAUAUGACAUAGAACACCAAUUGCGAAGGCAGCUCACUACUCAAUCAUUGACUCUGAGGCACGAAAGCGUGGGGAUCAAAC